CAGAGAUCUGCCUGCCUCUGCCUCCCAAGUGAGAGAUGCCAUACUCCGCUUGGCUGUGAUGUUUUAUCACAGCAAUAGAAACCUUACAUAAGGGGCUGGAGAGAUGGCAGUGAUUGUUCUAAAAGACCCACAUGGUGGCUCACGGCUGCCUGUAGCUUUCGUCCUAGCAGAGCCAACAACCUCUUCUGGCCUGUAUGCACAUGUUUCAGCCAGGCAUCGUGGUGCAGGACUUUAAUUCCAGCAUUAGGGAGGCAGGGGCAGGUGGAUCUCUGAAAGUUUAGGCCAGCCUCGUCUACAACAGUGAGGACCACACAGUAAGACACUGUCUCAAAAUAAAUAAAUAAGACACGAAAGAAAGAAACGCUAAUUAAGAUCCCUAGGCAGGCUUUGAACGUGGGACUCGCAGUUUCUGCCUCUCCUGUAGCUGGUGUAGCAGUCAGGUCAUAAAGGAUAUAUCCUUUAUGAGGGCACAAUUUCAUCUAGAGGAGGGACAUUCUGAUGGAAUGGAGUUCUCUUCCUCUCAAGACAGCGGCUGUCUUUGUGGGAAGGACUUCCCAGGCAUUCCACAUGAGACUUCUGCUCCUCAAAGGGGACAGCCAAGGCCUGAAGAAGUCAGGGCCUCACUGUGUAGUCCAAGCCAGCCUGAGACUCAUGGGGAUCCUUCCUCGGGUCUUCCAGGCUGGGAUUACAGACUCGGGGUGCUGGGAGGGCCCCGUUUCCUUAUUUAUAUGAAGGGCGUGGCUGCUUGCAGGUUUCCCUUCUUGAUUUCCUUUCUUUGUCCUGAGCCUCCGCAAAAACCUCUAAGUUCCCAGCAAACUGCACAUCAUCUUCACAGAAUUGAUAUGCAGGAGGAGGAAACGCAGAGUUGCCCGAGUAAGUGACUGACUCAAGACCACUCGGCCAGGAAGGAGCGACACAGGGAUCUAGAGCCUCGUGGGACUUAGCCGUGUCCCAGUGGUCGCUAUGUCCCCGCCUAAGAUCAUCCCAUGAGCUGAGCACUGUUGUGCUUUCCUCUAGUCCCAGCACUCAGGAGGACCUUACGUUGGAGCCCAGGCUGGCCUUGAACUCACAGCAAUGCUGCCUCAGUUUCCUACAUGCUGGUUUGGAGGUGCAUCGCAGCAAGCAGCCAUGCCGCCUUCCCACAGAUCUGAGCAGAUGAGCCAGCGCGCCCUUGCUGGCGUUACGAAGCUUAUCGGUCUUUCUUUGGUGUUACCGAGCACGUGGUUUGAACCUGCUGUCCCGGCACUUGCAGGCUGGGGCAGGAGGAUCACUUCAAGUUAGCAGCCAGCCUACCCUACAGAGGGGUUUCCAGCCUUCUCAGAAGCAUCUGGGAAAGGUCUGCCUCAAAAACCAGACAAACAGGCUAGCGACGAGGCUCAGGGGUUAAGACUGUGGGGUGCACCUGAAAUGCCAGCGUGGGGCCUCAAGAAUUCAAGGCCAGCUUGAGCUGCACAGACCCCUGCCUCAAUAGUGCUGUGGCAUGCCCCUUCAAUCCCAGCACUCAGAAGGCAGAGGCAGUCAGAGCUCUGGGAGUUCAAAGCUGACCUGGUCUACAUAGUGAGUUGCAGGCCAGCCAGGGAUAUAUAGUGGACUCUGUCUGUAAUAAAUCCAUAGAUAAAAUAUUUUCUUUUUUUAAAAGCAAAAAUCUUAGCGAGGGAGUCGGGCCUGGUGUGCGAUGACAAGUCUGUCCCUCCAGAGCUACUCUGAACAAAACAACGGGAGAUUAAAUCAGGCCCAAGGAUAAAUGGCCCACGCAGGUGGACGAGCUGCCGCCAGCCAGCGCCUUGACAGCGCACUUGAUUUUAUAAGUAGGGGAACGCUCUAAGAUAAUGACAGGUGCAGCAGAGAAGCCACACAAAGAGUAGCCUCACGGUUCGCCACAGCCAGGUGUUGCAACUGUGCCUAAUUACACGGGCUGCGUGUUUACCCCACAGGGACACGGGCAUGAGCACCAGCAGUGAGUGACUAACCCCUUGCGUUAUGGUGCCACAGCGGCCUCGUCACCAGGGGAUAGGGGAUGUUCCACUCCACCCCUCAGAUGCACUCCAACUGAUGCUAACACACAGACUUUGACUGACAGCCCUCAGCCCCUCCCUCCUUAGCAGGGACUAUGUGGCAGAAUAGAUACGGAUGCUGAAACGAUUUUUUCCCCCCCCCUUGGUGUUUUGAGACAGGAUCUCAUGUAGCCCAGGCUGGCUUUGAAUUCUCACCUCCGCCUCCCGUGUGUGGAAAUGAAGCAGAAACUUCUGCAAGUCCUCCUCAGAGCAUAUGCUCCUGGUAGUGGGGUGGGGUGGGGGACAAUAAGCAGACAGAGCCGCUUGUCAGGACGGGGAGGACCCUGUCCAGAGCCCGAUAAUUCUCAACAGCAGCAGCAGCAAGCUGGAGCGGCAGAGGAUGAGGUGAGUUAAGGAGGGAAGAUCAAGGCUCAGCAGGCAGAGGCUGUCGGAACAGUUUAACAUCAGCUCAGGGAGAAGCAGCCACUAUGGGUGAUGUCUGACUGGAUUUUCCCAGAAUGCCGCCUUCUCGUCCUGGACCACAGAGGAGUGGAGGGUAGAAGGAGGGAGAGCUGAAAAAGGCAGCCGUCCUGACGGGAGACAAUGGCGGCUGAGUCCAGGGUAGGAGACAGAGGGGAGAACAGACAGAUCCCGAGUCACAGUGUGGCCGCAGUGACAGGACUGGAAAACAGUGAGCGGGCACAGGCAGCUCCUGGCUGGAGAGGUGGCUCAGCAGUUAAGAGCACUGACUGCUCUUCCAGAGAUUCUGAGUUCAAUUCCCAGCACCCACAUGGUGGCUCACAACCACCUGUCAUGGGAUCUGAUGCCCUCUUCUGGUGCGUCUGAAGACAGCUACAGUGUACUCACAUACAAAAAAUAAAUAAAUCUUUAAAAAAGUAGACUUUAUAAAAAAAUAAAAUAAA
Long non-coding RNA from Mus musculus (house mouse), 2917 nucleotides. RefSeq annotates it as predicted gene, 33108. NCBI's taxonomy places the organism in Eukaryota, Metazoa, Chordata, Mammalia, Rodentia, Muridae. The transcript has 4 exons. The record is from RefSeq and is a predicted model, not a curated record.